Molecule: transfer RNA, 84 nt
Filed under: Patescibacteria group bacterium
Lineage: Bacteria
Description: tRNA-Leu
Rfam family: tRNA
About the family: Transfer RNA (tRNA) molecules are approximately 80 nucleotides in length. Their secondary structure includes four short double-helical elements and three loops (D, anti-codon, and T loops).
Source: RNAcentral
GCGGACGUGAUGGAACUGGUAGACAUCACGGUCUCAGAAGCCGUGGGGCGUAAGCCCGUGAGAGUUCAAAUCUCUCCGUCCGCA